AUGUCACCUGAGAGUCAAUGGGCAACGAUCAAAUUUCACCUUGAGCAGGUUCUUUUGUUUGCUUUCUAGUCACAAAUAGCUUGGCCCUAAGUGGUGGCUCCCAUUCUUGUAAGAUGCGUUUAUUCAUCGUGUAAUCACCAGUUCCCUGUAGUGGGGGCGUGGAUGGAGUGUCAGAGGCUCCUGCUGGUCUUUAGGUUGUCUGGCCUCCAGGAAUCCUAGAGGUAGUAUUUGGAGAGAUUUUUAAAAGCUUUGUUUCUGUGACCAGCAAAACCUGGAUUUGACACUGAGGUCAGCCUGUUUCAGCCAGUGACGUAACCUGUCUUUUUGCCCCAAUAAAUUGGGAACAACAGCACUCGAUGUUAGAGUUGUCGUGAAGAUUAAAGAAGGUGAUGAUUGGACAACUCCCAACCCAAUACCUGAAACUGUACCAGCACCCAGUGAGCACUGCUAUUCCUGUGACUGCUGCACAUUUGCCUUAUCUCAGCAGUAUGCCUGUGUCACUUUUUUGGCACUCUUUUCUCAUGGGUACAUUCAGAGAAGAGGAAUGUUUGUUCACUGGUGAAGAGAACACCCCGUGUACUAUCGUGUAGAAGUUGUAGUAGACGCUGUGGUCUUUCCAACAACAAACAAAGGCUGAGAGCUCCAAGGAGCUGUGAAUCACACCUCCGACUCCCCCCAGGGUACAGGAACGGGGUUCAGAAUGCUCUUCCCAAAGCUGCUGGGACAGGACCCAGGAGGUUCCGGAGGAUCAGGAGGUCCACCUGGGAGAAGAGCUGAUCGGCUAGUAGGAGAGCUGGAAAAGCAACAGACACCUCCUUAGUCCCUUCCCUGG
RNAcentral lists this long non-coding RNA (832 nucleotides) under Pan troglodytes (chimpanzee). RNAcentral's name for it is "lincRNA". Lineage: Eukaryota; Metazoa; Chordata; Mammalia; Primates; Hominidae. The record is from RNAcentral.